CCUACGGGGGGCAGCAGUGGGGAAUAUUGGUCAAUGGACGCAAGUCUGAACCAGCCAUGCCGCGUGCAGGAAGACGGCUCUAUGAGUUGUAAACUGCUUUUGUACGAGGGUAAACGCAGAUACGCGUAUCUGUCUGAAAGUAUCGUACGAAUAAGGAUCGGCUAACUCCGUGCCAGCAGCCGCGGUAAUACGGAGGAUUCAAGCGUUAUACGGAUUUAUUGGGUGUAAAGGGUGCGUAGGCGGUCGGAUAAGUUAGAGGUGAAAUCCCGAGGCUCAACUUCGGAAUUGCCUCUGAUACUGUGCGGCUAGAGAGUAGUUGCGGUAGGCGGAAUGUAUGGUGUAGCGGUGAAAUGCUUAGAGAUCAUACAGAACACCGAUGGCGAAGGCAGCUUACCAAGCUACUUCUGACGUUGAGGCACGAAAGCGUGGGGAGCAAACAGGAUUAGAUACCCGGGUAGUC
RNAcentral lists this ribosomal RNA (460 nucleotides) under uncultured bacterium. RNAcentral's name for it is "partial 16S ribosomal RNA". It matches the Rfam family "Bacterial small subunit ribosomal RNA", at positions 338 to 795 of the family's 1533-position model. The record is from RNAcentral.